GGCCACGCUUCUAGUUCUAGCAGCUGCAGGGGCUUCUGCUCAGUUGGAGGUGGUGCCACCUGCCUGGUGAAGGCAAGGCGCUAGGAGCUUCCUAGCAGCCGGAGCUCUGGGCAUGCUUCUGAGCUCUUCCUAGCAUUUCUCCAGGGGAGGCCGUGUCCCUCCUGGGCUCCUGGGCAGCGCUGUCACAUGAAGUAGGGGCUGAGAUCCUUGGUCGCAGCAGCCAUAGCGUGCUUGAGAGCGUCAUGCGGCGGAUGUAGAGGGCAGUGCAGACGUAGAACAUCUCCGUCACCGCAGAGGUCCCCGGGCACCACUGGCCUAAGGGCAGAAGUCGCCAUGACGACAUGAACUCCUUGAUUCCGGAAUGAGAGGACCAUGGAGAACUCGACCAAAGCCCAGUGACAAUCUCCUUGUGAGUCGUUGGUUCUACUGGGUCGUGUGCUCAUCUCUGAACCCAUAGAACAGAAAGGUCUGAUGGGCCUGGGUGCUCCCCCGGUAUCCGAGCGCUGAGCGAGAAAAAUGUAAGAAACAAAGUAAAUCAAGGGAGCGAGGGCUGCAGAGAGAGCUGAGCCGACUCUGGGCGUGCAGCAAGAGAUGUCUGCCGUGGCUAAUUCACUCGACACCCUGGGGCUGGCUCUGGGGUGCAGGAGAUCGCAGGCCUCGCCCUCACAGAGCUUACCUUCUAGCGGGAGGUCUGACUCUGUCCCCAUGGCCCUUUGCCUGCCCUCCCUCCUGGCCUGAGUCCAGCCCAGGGAGAAGAGUGAAAUUAACUGUCCCUCGUUAUUGUGACACUUCCUGGGAGCAACAAAGGGCUUUUCACAGCGAGAAAACGAAGCAAGUACAUGCGAGAUGACCUGGAAGUCACAGAAUUUAGUUGUUGAGGUGCCAGAUGGAAAAUACCCAACAGGUCAUGUUCAGAGUUUGGAGCUAAAAUAGGCAUGCUCUUAAAAAAAAAAAAAAUCCAUAUAUGGCUAGCAUUUCAGGUAUACCUUUUGGAGUGAAGGACACUGAGCUGGAUUCUCAGAAACUGAAAACCCAUAGAAGGUUCUGGAAAAGUCAGUAACAAAGGGAGCCACGUUCUCCUCCAGGUUUCAUCCUCGCUUGGGCUAGA
Long non-coding RNA from Canis lupus familiaris (dog), 1108 nucleotides. RefSeq lists it as uncharacterized. The record is from RefSeq and is a predicted model, not a curated record. Lineage: Eukaryota; Metazoa; Chordata; Mammalia; Carnivora; Canidae. The transcript is spliced from 3 exons.